Molecule: long non-coding RNA, 646 nt
Organism: Chenopodium quinoa (quinoa)
Lineage: Eukaryota; Viridiplantae; Streptophyta; Magnoliopsida; Caryophyllales; Amaranthaceae
Exons: 3
Source: RefSeq, a predicted model, not a curated record
AUUUCUCCAAAUUGACUUUCUAAUUUACAUUUAGACAAAAAUAUUCCUUUUUAAGGAUUAAAAGCAAUUUGAUCGGAAAAUGAUGAGAACACGGCUGUUAUGGUUCACUUCCGGCGCUCUCUUCACCGGCGGCACCAUUGCUUACUACCUUCAUCGUGACCUCUUCAAAGAUCGCUACCUUCUCGUCAAUCAAUUGAAGGACAAUUUUGGCGCUCUUGAAGCUAGGGUUUCUACUCUUGAAUCUGUUCCUCAUCAUUCAAAUGCUCAGGAUGGAGGUAGUUCGACCUGAAUUGUUAGCUUGAGGUUUUACAGCAUAGCUACUUUGUCUUCGUGGAAUUAAUGAAAUCUACAGCUGGCUCCUUGUAACUUCUUUGUUAUAUUUCUAUUGAGAAAAUCUUUCUCAUGAUUUAUAUACAUGGCACAAUUUUUUCUAUCAGUGUCUACUCUAGUUUUUCUCUUCUCUUUUUUUUUUCUUCUCUGGUUGAUCAAGUGUGAUAAUUGAUACCCCUUAUUGAGUAUAAGAAUAAGUAUUACUUUAUUAAACAUUCUAAAUUUUUCUCUGUUCUGAUCUACAACAAGAUAUUGUAAGUACUUGACCUUUCUAGAUCUUUAUUGCAAGUUGCGAGUACUUUUUUCUCUUGCUUAA